UGGGGCGUGGCCAAGUGGUAAGGCAUCGGGUUUUGGCCCCGUUAUUCGGAGGUUCGAAUCCUUCCGCCCCAG
RNAcentral lists this transfer RNA (72 nucleotides) under Chlorokybus atmophyticus. RNAcentral's name for it is "tRNA-Gln". It matches the Rfam family "tRNA". Rfam says of the family: Transfer RNA (tRNA) molecules are approximately 80 nucleotides in length. Their secondary structure includes four short double-helical elements and three loops (D, anti-codon, and T loops). The record is from RNAcentral. Lineage: Eukaryota; Viridiplantae; Streptophyta; Chlorokybophyceae; Chlorokybales; Chlorokybaceae.